This is a long non-coding RNA of Piliocolobus tephrosceles (Ugandan red Colobus), 419 nucleotides long. RefSeq lists it as uncharacterized. The record is from RefSeq and is a predicted model, not a curated record. The transcript has 2 exons. Lineage: Eukaryota; Metazoa; Chordata; Mammalia; Primates; Cercopithecidae.
CAGUUAAUACUCUCGGAUAAUGUAUUUAAGGAUGCUUAAGAAAUUGCAACAGCCAGUUCAACCUUCAGCAACCACCAAACGGUAGUCAUCAACAUAGAGACAAGACUGUACACCAGCAAAAAGAUCCCAACUCAAUGAAGGCUCAAAUGAUUUUAGCAUUUUUUUAGCAAUAAAACAUUUUAAAUUAAACUAUAUACAUUGUUGUUUUAGACAAUGUUUUUGCACAUUCAGAAUACAGUAAAGUGUAAACAUAACUUUUAUAUACACUGGGGAAACCAGAAAAUUUGUGUGACUUUAUUGCAAUAUUUGUUUUAUUGUGCUGAUCUGGAACUAAAUAUAUCUGAGAUAUGCUUGUACUGAUAAUUAUUUUAACACCAAGAUAUUUAAAAAUUCAUUAAAUAAAUUUUUAUUUAAAUAGA